UCGAAAGGGGCCGUGGGUUCGAAUCCCACCCUCUCCGCCAAAUGCCCAGAUAGCUCAGUCGGUAGAGCAGGGGACUGAAAAUCCCCGUGUCGGUGGUUCGAUUCCGCCUCUGGGCACCAAAAUAUGGCGGUAUAGCUUAGUUGGCUAGAGCGUUCGGUUCAUACCCGAAAGGUCAUAGGUUCGACUCCUAUUACCGCUACUAAAAUUUAAUGUGGGCCAUUAGCUCAGUUGGUUAGAGCGCCCGGCUCAUAACCGGUAGGUCUGGGGUUCGAGUCCCUGAUGGCCCACCACAUUAAAUUAAUUAAUAUAAAUUCGAGGUGUAGCGCAGUUUGGUAGCGCACAUGGUUUGGGACCAUGGGGCCGGGGGUUCGAGUCCCUUCACCUCGACCAAUAUAAGGUGGGUAUAGCUCAGUUGGUUAGAGCGCCAGAUUGUGGCUCUGGAGGUCGUGAGUUCGACUCUCAUUAUCCACCCCAAUUCAUAUGGUCUAUUAGCUCAGUCGGUAGAGCACCUGACUUUUAAUCAGGGUGUCCCGCGUUCGAGUCGCGGAUAGAUCACCAAAAAGGUGGCGACAUAGCCAAGUGGUAAGGCAGUGGACUGCAACUCCUUGAUCCCCAGUUCGAAUCUGGGNGGGACUCUAACCAUAGGCCAUGAAUCUGGUCUUGGGACACUGUCAGGUGGGCAGUUUGACUGGGGCGGUCGCCUCCCAAAAGGUAACGGAGGCGCUCAAAGGUUCUCUCAGUACGGUCGGAAAUCGUACGUAGAGUGUAAAGGCAAAAGAGAGCUUGAUUGCAAGACAUACAGGUCGAGCAAGGAUGAAAAUCGGACUUAGUGAUCCGGUGGUUCUGCGUGGAAGGGCCAUCGCUCAACGGAUAAAAGCUACCCUGGGGAUAACAGGCUUAUCUCCCCCAAGAGUCCACAUCGACGGGGAGGUUUGGCACCUCGAUGUCGGCUCAUCACAUCCUGGGGCUGUAGUAGGUCCCAAGGGUUGGGCUGUUCGCCCAUUAAAGUGGUACGCGAGCUGGGUUCAGAACGUCGUGAGACAGUUCGGUCCCUAUCCGUCGCAGGCGUAGGAAAUUUGAGAAGACCUGUCCUUAGUACGAGAGGACCGGGAUGGACGUACCUCUGGUGUACCAGUUGUUCUGCCAAGGGCAUGGCUGGGUAGCUAUGUACGGAAUGGAUAAGCGCUGAAAGCAUCUAAGCGCGAAGCCAACUUCAAGAUAAGAUUUCCCACCGCAAGGGUAAGACCCCAGAAAGACUAUCUGGUUGAUAGGUCGAAGGUGUAAGUGCAGCAAUGUAUUUAGCUUAUCGAUACUAAUAGGUCGAGGACUUGACCAA
This 1336-nucleotide ribosomal RNA is filed under the name Clostridioides difficile. RNAcentral describes it as "bacterial LSU rRNA". The stretch from base 549 to 1324 matches the Rfam family "Bacterial large subunit ribosomal RNA", at positions 2045 to 2912 of the family's 2925-position model. Lineage: Bacteria; Bacillati; Bacillota; Clostridia; Peptostreptococcales; Peptostreptococcaceae. The record is from RNAcentral.